This 91-nucleotide ribosomal RNA is filed under the name Escherichia coli. Lineage: Bacteria; Pseudomonadati; Pseudomonadota; Gammaproteobacteria; Enterobacterales; Enterobacteriaceae. The record is from RNAcentral.
CCUGGCGGCCUUAGCGCGGUGGUCCCACCUGACCCCAUGCCGAACUCAGAAGUGAAACGCCGUAGCGCCGAUGGUAGUGUGGGGUCUCCCC